UACGUAGGGUGCGAGCGUUGUCCGGAAUUACUGGGCGUAAAGAGCUCGUAGGUGGUUUGUCGCGUUGUCCGUGAAAACUCACAACUCAAUUGUGGGCGUGCGGGCGAUACGGGCAGACUGGAGUACUGCAGGGGAGACUGGAAUUCUUGGUGUAGCGGUGGAAUGCGCAGAUAUCAGGAGGAACACCGGUGGCGAAGGCGGGUCUCUGGGCAGUAACUGACGCUGAGGAGCGAAAGCGUGGGGAGCGAACAGG
RNAcentral lists this ribosomal RNA (253 nucleotides) under uncultured bacterium. RNAcentral's name for it is "partial 16S ribosomal RNA". It matches the Rfam family "Bacterial small subunit ribosomal RNA", at positions 524 to 776 of the family's 1533-position model. The record is from RNAcentral.